AGGAACUUAAGUUAUACUAAAACUAGGGGCCUUCAAAGCCCUCAAAAAAGACAAUUUAGUUCCUG
Molecule: transfer RNA, 65 nt
Filed under: Sinomicrurus japonicus (Japanese coral snake)
Lineage: Eukaryota; Metazoa; Chordata; Lepidosauria; Squamata; Elapidae
Description: tRNA-Trp
Source: RNAcentral